CCAUAGAUACUACAUACACACAUGGAUAUGAAACAGGAAGUCGGUAUCCAAUUAACUCUUUGAAGUUCACCUGUAAACGUCAUAACCAGCAUAGCUCUAUCCUUGGCGCUUUUCUCUCUGUCUAUGUUUUCAAGAAUUUUCUUGACUCACUUAUUUUUGUGAAAGAAGGCCUCAUGUUUACAUGACAAAAUUAGAAGACCUCCAUUUUUAUUUGUAACCACCUUUUCUAGACUCUCGAACGGAGUUAGCUAGUAUGAACAAGUUACUACUUUGAGUGUAUUCAUUAAGGCCUCUUAUAUAGACUGUUUAUGGUUUCAUUUUUCUAGAUGCUAUGUUUCAAAAGUAAUAAUAUAUUUUUUGCAAGUGUUUCAAAGGGUGUGGUUUAAUUUUUAGUGAGAACUGAGUAGUGAAAGAAUAGGUUAUUUACCAAGAAACACAAGCAGGAUUUCAGUGGCAUUGAUGAGACAUUGUUACAUGAUUGUAAAGCUUUAUAUUUAUGCUACCACAGAGAACUAUCAAGAUAGAGAUGAUGUACAUUACAGUAUGUACUGUAUGGUGAUACAUUAAAAUUUGUUGAAGGACUCAUAAUAAUAAUCAAUCUAUUGG
Amphimedon queenslandica is the source of this 606-nucleotide long non-coding RNA. RefSeq lists it as uncharacterized. NCBI's taxonomy places the organism in Eukaryota, Metazoa, Porifera, Demospongiae, Haplosclerida, Niphatidae. The record is from RefSeq and is a predicted model, not a curated record. The transcript is spliced from 4 exons.